This 400-nucleotide long non-coding RNA is filed under the name Homo sapiens (human). RNAcentral's name for it is "non-protein coding lnc-BRF1-31:10". Lineage: Eukaryota; Metazoa; Chordata; Mammalia; Primates; Hominidae. The record is from RNAcentral.
AUGGAGUUUGGGCUGAGCUGGCUUUUUCUUGUGGCUAUUUUAAAAGUGUCCAGUGUGAGGUGCAGCUGGUGGAGUCUGGGGGAGGCUUGGUACAGCCUGGGGGGUCCCUGAGACUCUCCUGUGCAGCCUCUGGAUUCACCUUUAGCAGCUAUGCCAUGAGCUGGGUCCGCCAGGCUCCAGGGAAGGGGCUGGAGUGGGUCUCAGCUAUUAGUGGUAGUGGUGGUAGCACAUACUACGCAGACUCCGUGAAGGGCCGGUUCACCAUCUCCAGAGACAAUUCCAAGAACACGCUGUAUCUGCAAAUGAACAGCCUGAGAGCCGAGGACACGGCCGUAUAUUACUGUGCGAAAGACACAGUGAGGGGACACUGGGGCCAGGGCACCCUGGUCACCGUCUCCUC